RNAcentral lists this transfer RNA (72 nucleotides) under Loxodonta africana (African savanna elephant). It matches the Rfam family "tRNA". From Rfam's summary of the family: Transfer RNA (tRNA) molecules are approximately 80 nucleotides in length. Lineage: Eukaryota; Metazoa; Chordata; Mammalia; Proboscidea; Elephantidae. The record is from Rfam by way of RNAcentral.
GGCUCCAUGGUGUAAUGGUGAGUGCUCUGGACUCUGAAUCCAGCGAUCCCAGUUCAAGUGUCGGUGGAACCU